RNAcentral lists this ribosomal RNA (824 nucleotides) under uncultured bacterium. Its description in RNAcentral is "bacterial SSU rRNA". It matches the Rfam family "Bacterial small subunit ribosomal RNA", at positions 61 to 899 of the family's 1533-position model. The record is from RNAcentral.
GUCGAACGGAUGAAUAAGCUUGCUUAUUUCGUUAGUGGCGCACGGGUGAGUCCUGUUUAGCUAACCUGCCCUUUAGUGGGGGACAACAGAUGGAAACGUCUGCUAAUACCCCAUACUCCUGCUUAUCAUAAGGUAAGUUGGGCAAAAGAUUUAUUGCUAAAGGAUGGGGCUUUAUGGUAUCAGCUAGUUGGUGGGGUAACGGCCUACCAAGGCUAUGACGCCUACCUGGUCUGAGAGGAUGAUCAGGCACACUGGAACUGAGACACGGUCCAGACUCCUACGGGAGGCAGCAGUGGGGAAUAUUGCACAAUGGAGGAAACUCUGAUGCAGCAACGCCGCGUGGAGGAUGACGCAUUUCGGUGUGUAAACUCCUUUUAUAAGGGAAGAUAAUGACGGUACCUUAUGAAUAAGCACCGGCUAACUCCGUGCCAGCAGCCGCGGUAAUACGGAGGGUGCAAGCGUUACUCGGAAUCACUGGGCGUAAAGGAUGCGUAGGCUGGAAAUCAAGUCGAGAGUGAAAUCCAACGGCUCAACCGUUGAACUGCUCUCGAAACUGGUUACCUAGAAUAUGGGAGAGGUAGAUGGAAUUGGUGGUGUAGGGGUAAAAUCCGUAGAUAUCACCAGGAAUACCGAUUGCGAAAGCGAUCUACUGGAACAUUAUUGACGCUGAGGCAUGAAAGCGUGGGGAGCAAACCACAAGAUUAGAUACCCUGGUAGUCCACGCCCUAAACGAUGCACACUAAAUGUUGCGAUGCUAGUCAUUGCAGUAAUGCACUUAACAGAAUAAGUGUGCCGCCCUGGGGAGUACCGGCGCCAGAUUAAAA